AUGCCACUGCACUCCAGCCUGGGCAACAGAGCAAGACUCCAUCUCAAAAAAAAAAAAAAAUUUUUUUAGCAGAACAUAAGUUGAUGACUGUGAGAUGAAUAGUGUUGGGUGGAGAGAAGCCAGAAUGGUGUUGGGGUCCUUAGAGAAAGCCUGGUAUUGUCUAUUUGAAUAAUUGCUUGUGAGCUUUGGACUAGUUGGUAUCCCAUUGAGCCUCUUUACUGAGAGGAUGGGAGUAUCACAGGAACCAGACAUGGAGACUAGAAGAGCUUUGUGAAGGACACCUUGAAUUAUAAGUUGAAGAUCUUGGAGAAUUCUUGUCUUGAGGAUAUUAUACUUGAGAGUAGCAUGGAAGGUUCUAUUUCUACGUUGAGAGGUUUGGCCUUCUUGAUUUGGCCUGCGUCAGUUGAGUGACCAGCUCAAAGGCAGUCGGGUAUUUUAGUUAGCAUAGUUUGUGCUUGAGGUUUUAAAGGGGGAUCAGGGAUUUUGACAGAAACAAGAAAAGUGUGAUGGUCAAUAAGAGCCAUGAAAGGGCAAAGAUGCAAGGCUGGGAACCCAAGGACCUCAAGUGUGAGGCCCUCGGGGAGCAAAACUACUGACAGUCCAGUUGGAAAGUAACUCUUUCCAGAAGGUUUACUGGGUAGUGGAACUAAGAAGCUGUGCUGGGUGGGGAGGGUCCUAGUAAGACAGAAGGUUCUGUUAAAGGCAGCACAUGGAUGCUUAUCAAGUCCCACCAACAGGCAUGGCUUGUGUGCUCUUAGGGAGUGUGGCAAGAGGUGUUCAUGGUGAGAUGUGUUGCUCGGGGUCCAUUAGGAAGGGAGGGGAGUGUCCAUUGAUGGGGAAGAUUCUCUCCUGAGUUAGUGUGGACACAAAGGGGAACAUACCCCUCCAAGAAAGUCGUUAAAAGAUGGAUUUUUAAACCCUUGCUCUCUUUUGUUUUAAAGCCAGCCAAUCCCAAGCCAGCAUUCUUUUUAUUUGUAUCUGCAUGUGUGCCUAGCAAGUGGGGGUUUGGAGUAAGCAGAUUGGCCUGGUUUGCUUCCUUCUGGUGGAGAAGACAGGGCUCCAAAUGGACUUCCAGUCCCAUCCACGUCACAGAGGCAAAUUGUCAGAGACAAAGACCUAAGCCGGUCCUUUUCCAGGAGUAAAUGACCAUCGUGCGCCCAUGGGAAGAGUGCUGCAUCCACGGAGGACAUGGGCCAACAGUGCUCUCAAAUGGGUUUCAUGAAAGCAUCUGUGACUCAUCCCUGUUCAAGAAUGUUUUCAUUACGAUUCAGCAGAAGCGAUGUGCCAGCUUUUGAUAAUGUGGCUACUUAAAACAACUGAAAUAACACAUGUGGUCCCAUUGUGGCCACAUUAGAUUUCUACUGGCCAGCGUGGGACUAGACUCAGGCUAAGGUCCUCCCAACUCAGGGUGUUUCAAAAAGCAAAAGUACCGUGGCUCCAGCGUCAGCAGAAAAACAAGUUAGAAAGACAGGCAGGGGAGGGGGCGAUCCCUCCAACUCCAAAGCUGUGCCAGGGAGACACCGCUCUUGGGGAAGUUGGGCUGCAGCCCCCGCACGUGCUAGGAAGAUAAGUGAAGGUCCCAACACAUCCUGUCCCCUUAGAGCCCCUGGGGCCCAGCAGCCGGGCCCAGCAGCCCGACCCAGCGCCUAGAGCCCAUUCGCAGACAGCGCGCUGAGGCGGCUUGGGCGCCAUGCCCUUUGGGUUACUCAGCUCUUCAGCCUCCUGGAACGCUAGGACAAAGGAGUGCCUUGGUGCUGGCAGAAGCCGGGGGGCACAGCUGGGUUUUACAAGGAAGGACGAAAUCUCAUCUCAGCAAUCGGGAUAGAUCAACCGUUGCCCGUCUGAGGUGACCCAAUUCAGGGACCAGCCGCUUGGCUCUGAACACACACGUGUCACAACCCCAGCUCGUACCCAGGCCUUGCUAGAGCUCCAGGUUUAUGAGCCGUAACUCAGCAGAAGCCUAGCAUGAGAACAACUCAUCUGAAGCUCCAACAUUUGGGGAAUGCAACCUUUCGACAGACAUUUGCUGAAUGGAUAGGAGACUCCUGAAAGCAGAAUUCUGCACAUUCUGUGGACCAGCCCUGACUACGGAGAGCAGGUGUUAGCCAGUAUCCAUGCGCAGUGCCUCUUAGUCUUACCUGUCUGCUGCCUUACGCAAGCAUGGAGCUUAAUAUGCUAGCUGUGUUCUCCUAACCUCAGAUAUCUGUAAAACCAGCCACAGUAAGAUAACAUGGUAGAGCACAAAAUGCUUAGAAGAGAUUUAUUUGAAGCAAUGCUUCCCAGAAGUUUUUCAAUGCAGCUUAUGGCGAGAAACACAUUUUACAUCUCUACUCAGUACGCAGCCACUCAUACUCAACUGAAACAUCUUCUGAAACAAUAUUUCACUUCACUCUCUGCAAUACAGAAAAUACCAGAUCGUAUUGUAUGUUAUUUCAUUGUUUUAAAAUCCUGAGCCUAGCUUGCUAAUAGAUUACAACUCAGUUUGAAAAGCACAGGCUAAGGGGCUUCAAAUAGGGGUGACACAUUGAACACACACAUUUAUCACCUCUCCCUUCACAGAUCUCAUUAAAAUGAUAAUAAAGGAACAAAAUGGCAGAAAUCCACAAGGACAAACAGCAAACAAGAGGGACAUCAGCAGAUAGGCAACCUCAACAAGUAUAUCACAAUGAGUGACACACCCCCUAUAACAGCCAAUUUUGAUGGUCCUCCCAUAGCUCUUGCCUUAUUCUUUGUAAUAGGAUUCAGAUUGUUUAAAAUCCCCAUAUUCUACCGCAAAGUCAUGUUAUCAGGAAAGACCAACCCUAACCCCAGUUCCAUGGAGUAAAGAUUAAUUAAUCUAAACUCUAUUAAUUGUAUUCCCUUUAUCUGGUGAUAAGUUUAAGAGCUGAUCCCUUAAUUUUGGACAUGGGAGCACAAGAGAAACUCACUCAAGACUGGGAUUAAUUGUAGGAAAUAUUUCACAGUUUCCACAAGUCAGAAGAGCUAAUCCCAACCCUCUGUAUCUGGAACAUACACUGCUGCCAUUUUCUGCCCAUGAAGGGAAAUACCCAAGGUACUCUGGCAGAACAGAUUUUUGAAAACUUGAGUCCCUGAUGAUGUAAGUCAGCCACAAUGUUAAUCAACCCCAGAGCCACCUUAUUUCUAGACUUAUUAUGCAAGAUAAAAAAAAUCAACUUGCAGUAUGAA
RNAcentral lists this long non-coding RNA (3186 nucleotides) under Homo sapiens (human). Its description in RNAcentral is "HSALNT0332121". Lineage: Eukaryota; Metazoa; Chordata; Mammalia; Primates; Hominidae. The record is from RNAcentral.